AUUUAGAUAGCUUAUUUAAGAGUAUGAUAUUGAAGCUAUCAAGGAGAUUUCUCUAAAUA
Molecule: transfer RNA, 59 nt
Filed under: Asiopsocus sonorensis
Lineage: Eukaryota; Metazoa; Arthropoda; Insecta; Psocodea; Asiopsocidae
Description: tRNA-Phe
Source: RNAcentral